AAUAUGUUGAUGCCAAUUCCAAUCGACACUAACCCUAAAACUAAUCCACUCCAAUUAUAAUAAUGUUAUACAGUCCACUGAAAUUAUAAUUUUGAUUUAUAUGUUUACUCAACUAUCAUUUAAUGUCUAGGGUUGGAGUUGUAACCUGUCAGGCUCCAACUAUGGCCACAACGAAAGUUACUCAUGUAAUGCUAAAUUCCGGCCAACUGAUACCGACAAUAGGCUUCGGUACCGGAGCACUACCUAUGCCACCGCCUGAACAACUAACAUCCAUAUUUAUCGAAGCCAUCGAGGCCGGCUAUCGCCACUUUGACACGGCAGCCUCCUAUGGCACGGAGGAGUGCGUAGGCCGAGCAGUGGCUGCGGCACUGGACCGUGGCCUAAUCAAGAGCCGGAACGAAGUGUUUGUCACUUCUAAAUUGUCAAUAUAUGAUACUCACCAUGAUCUUGUUUUGCCUGCCCUCAAAGAAACGCUCAGGUACUCGUAUUUUCAUUCCUUUUUUCACCAAUGAAUUGAAUCCCAUAAUAAAUAUUAACUUCAGAUAAUAAGAAUCCCUUACAAUAACAGUUAUACAAUAUAGGGUUUGCAAUUACAUUUGAAAGAAUCAGAAAAUUACAGGGAAGAAGUUUGUUACAAUUCAUGCCCCGUGGAGGAACCGGAAGUGGGAUGGACUACAUGGUCCGCGCCUUACUUCCCGAAAACUCCGAUGAGGCAGGAGAAGGGCCGGUCCGUUACCAUCCGCAGAAUUUACGGAUAUGUGGAUCUAUUGCUGCAAUCAAUUCCAAGAAUAAAGGGCGAAUUACCAAAUAGCUUUGAUUCUGAUGCUGUGUAGUUCUUCUGGUAUAAAUUGUUGGGAAAUUAAAAAAAAGAUAUCAUCAAAAUAUGUGGUUAGCCCGGCUUGUAAUCGCAAUUUUAUGUGGAAACCAGAAGGAAUACACAGCAGGGCAGCAGCCUUAUUCCUUAACUAGCUGCAGUAUUUUAUCAUGUAACAAACUGAUAAGGUUGGACUCAAAUUAAAUUUUGUUUCUAAAAAUUUUGUAAACAACUAAUUCUAGAACCAAGAUAACAAAGGGCCAGAACUACGUCUCUUGUAAGCCUAAUAUAGGAUUAUUUAUUUAUUUAUUAUUUAUUUUUUUUAAUGAAGUUUUAAUUGACAUAUGUUGUAGGAAACUGGGGCAUUCAUUUUUUGUUGCCAAAUUGAAAAAUCUCAUUUUCAAUUGAAAAUUUGAACUUCGAAAUGUGAAGACGUUUUGCAGAAAAAAACCAAAGUGCACAAAUAGGUUACACAAAAUAAUCCUAAAGUCGCAAUAUACACAUUUCUAAAUUCUCAAGGUUUCAUAAGAUUCGUAAUUUUAAAUCAAGGAAAUUUUUAAACUUGUCAAGUCUAGAUGUUCUAACAGAAUAUUCAAUGCAACUCAAAGGUAUGUCAACAAAAAAAAUAAAAAAAUAAAAAAAAUAAUAAAAAAAAUUCAACUUCUCAUGCAAUGUAGUCUCACAUAGUGACUAGAUGGUAACUAAAGCACAAAAGCAAUUACCAACUUGCAGCUAAAUUAACACUUUAUAUAGAGCAAAUAAUUCCUAAACUUUUAGCAUAAACAAUGUUACCCACACAGUAACCACAAUCCUAAUGCCAUCCCACAUGAUGACGCGCUAAUGUUGAAAUUUGAAUUGAGAUAAACCAAUAUACUAAAACGGACCAAUCUGAGUCUAUAAAUUACGAGAGAUGCGAAUCUAUCACGUUAGGACCACCACUAUUUGUCCUCAAGCCUCCAGCAAUCGCAUGAAUCAAUCACCACAAUCAAAUUUCGAUCGUGCGAAGAAUAGAGUCAUCCAUAUUACGCUCUAUAACCUGAAACAGUAAACUAACAACACUAAAAUGUCAGAAAUGAUGCUAGGAAUAAACUGCCUGAAGAUACCUCUUCGAGAUUCGGCCCUACGCCCCUCAUGCGCCUUUAACCCUCUUUGCGCGUGGGCUUCACAAGCUGCCACACACGCCAGCAAUCAAUCUCACGACCAGUAACCAUAGUGCGCCUCUACCUGCACGUCACGUCGAUGGUCUCUGUUUCACCAAACGCCUUUUGGAUUUGCCGAAAAUCGUGAAAAUAAUCUCAAUUUUUGGGCAGUUUUGGACAGAUUACGAUCUGAGUUUUUUGCUUCGUUUCUGUCAGUUUCCUGGAUGUUUUUUUUGUAUGUUUCACAAGCCAAAUCCACCACCUUGAAGCUCUGAUACCAAUUGUCACGGAAGCUUGCUCCAAGGAUAAUCAAAACAGUGUUUUGGGGGCUCAGUACAAUGUUACAUUUCUUUACCAAAUAAUCAAUUCAACCGGCUCCAAUCCAUAAUCUAUAUAUUCAUCUCGAUUACUUCUCAAUCUCACCCAAAGAACAAGACAGUGGUCAUGAUUUGUAACCAAGAAAACAUCACAAAGAAGGUAAGGAAGAGACCACAAACACGAAGUUAAUCACUAGUUUUUUGGACACAAAGGCAACCGAUUUCUCUCUUCUAUGGCAGCUAAUUUUUUCUCCUCUUCACAUAUACAAAUCAUCAACAGCUAGGGCAAGAAAGGGGGCUAUAUAUAUAGGCUAGAUUAGGCUUUUAGUUGGACCAAUAACAAGAUUAAAUGAAUCAAGAUUCAAAGUCAUCCAAGAGAUAAUAUGAAUGGGUCGAGUAGAGUCUUUAAACUUGAUUGUUGGUACUUAUUUAAUCAUCAGCCAAGACCUAUGAUAUGUAUAUUCCUAGAUUAAUAUCAUAGUCCAGGAUUUAUUGUGUAUGAAAACCAAACAAUUUUUUAUACUAAAAAUUUCAAAUUCAUAUAACAACUUUACUAGAACGGUUUUCAUGGCUGUAAGUUAUAUAAAAACAUAUUAUUCUCUUCUUCUAGUCAAUUGUUUUUCGAUAAUUUUCAUGUGCGGUCAUUGAACUUAUAGCCAAAUUGCAAUUGGAUCACUAAACUUUAAUUGGCUUAAUUUAGUUCCCUAAACUUCAAUUCAAUUCCAAAUUUCACCAUUUUCAUAUUUAGUCACCUAUAUUCCCCCAAAAAUAACAAAAAUUGCUCAGGGAAAGUCAAAUCAUACAUGAUUUUUCAUGUCAUCGUGAUGUGGCACCCUAGAAUCGAAAAUGGUCUAAGGAAUGUUAUGACAAUUUUUUUUAGAUUAAAAGAGGCAAUUUUAUUUAUUUAUUUAAAAAAAAAAGCAAUUGCAUUGUGAGAAAUUAAAAACUCCAUGCAGCAUGCAGAAAAUCUCGUUGUAACAUUCUAUCGAGAUAACAAUUUCGAUGAAUUUAGGAUCGUUGAUGAGAUUCAAACAUAAUUUGAAAUUGAAUGACCUAAUCGAGUUCCGUGACUCAAUUGAGACUUGGCCGAAAUAUCGGUGUUCGCAUAAGAAAAUGGACCCAUUAUGUUUCUGACACUAAAAAGACAACCACUGUCCUUCCUGUCUUCUAAUGGCCUAAAAAACCAAAUAUGUUGAUGCCAAUUCCAAUCGACACUAACCCUAAAACUAAUCCACUCCAAUUAUAAUAAUGUUAUACAGUCCACUGAAAUUAUAAUUUUGAUUUAUAUGUUUACUCAACUAUCAUUUAAUGUCUAGGGUUGGAGUUGUAACCUGUCAGGCUCCAACUAUGGCCACAACGAAAGUUACUCAUGUAAUGCUAAAUUCCGGCCAACUGAUACCGACAAUAGGCUUCGGUACCGGAGCACUACCUAUGCCACCGCCUGAACAACUAACAUCCAUAUUUAUCGAAGCCAUCGAGGCCGGCUAUCGCCACUUUGACACGGCAGCCUCCUAUGGCACGGAGGAGUGCGUAGGCCGAGCAGUGGCUGCGGCACUGGACCGUGGCCUAAUCAAGAGCCGGAACGAAGUGUUUGUCACUUCUAAAUUGUCAAUAUAUGAUACUCACCAUGAUCUUGUUUUGCCUGCCCUCAAAGAAACGCUCAGGUACUCGUAUUUUCAUUCCUUUUUUCACCAAUGAAUUGAAUCCCAUAAUAAAUAUUAACUUCAGAUAAUAAGAAUCCCUUACAAUAACAGUUAUACAAUAUAGGGUUUGCAAUUACAUUUGAAAGAAUCAGAAAAUUACAGGGAAGAAGUUUGUUACAAUUCAUGCCCCGUGGAGGAACCGGAAGUGGGAUGGACUACAUGGUCCGCGCCUUACUUCCCGAAAACUCCGAUGAGGCAGGAGAAGGGCCGGUCCGUUACCAUCCGCAGAAUUUACGGAUAUGUGGAUCUAUUGCUGCAAUCAAUUCCAAGAAUAAAGGGCGAAUUACCAAAUAGCUUUGAUUCUGAUGCUGUGUAGUUCUUCUGGUAUAAAUUGUUGGGAAAUUAAAAAAAAGAUAUCAUCAAAAUAUGUGGUUAGCCCGGCUUGUAAUCGCAAUUUUAUGUGGAAACCAGAAGGAAUACACAGCAGGGCAGCAGCCUUAUUCCUUAACUAGCUGCAGUAUUUUAUCAUGUAACAAACUGAUAAGGUUGGACUCAAAUUAAAUUUUGUUUCUAAAAAUUUUGUAAACAACUAAUUCUAGAACCAAGAUAACAAAGGGCCAGAACUACGUCUCUUGUAAGCCUAAUAUAGGAUUAUUUAUUUAUUUAUUAUUUAUUUUUUUUAAUGAAGUUUUAAUUGACAUAUGUUGUAGGAAACUGGGGUUAGAAUAUGUGGACCUUUACCUCGUACACUGGCCGAUAAUGAUUAAGAAGAGUGCCAACACCACUUUGACACGGCAGCCUCCUACGACAUAGAGGAGUACGUUUGCCGAGCGGUAGCAAGAGCACUCAACAGUGGGCUCAUCAAGAACGGUGAAAAAGUGUUUGUCACUUGUAAGUUGUUGUGGAAAGAUACGCGAAGAUCUUGUUUUCCCAAAGGCGAAAGCUUGUUUUUCCAGAUGGGCAGUACAAAUAUGCCCUUAAAUCCCUAAAAAAUGUAUCCAAAUCAAAUUAAUCAUCAGGGAUAUCACUGAGGGAGCAAAAGAAUAAUAUCACUCUUGACAUUGUUGGGGACAGUGGCGGAUCCAGCACCUGGCGAGCCCCCGCGGCCGCCCGUGCUGGAUUCGCCGGGAGCUUCAGUGGCUGCCGGGUUGGUGGCAGCCGCGUAGGCGCAGCAGAUGGAGAUUUGCAGAAGAAGCCGAACAGGAGUCUGUGAUGCUGGAGAAGAAGACUUCAAAUUUCCAAAAUUUUUCUAUUCGUUUGGGCUUAUCUGCCAGAGAUUGGGCCAUUUUAAAAAAAAAGUUAGGCCCAAAUUAAUAAGGAUAUUGAAUCCGGCAACAAAGUCCAUGGACCAUGGUAUGAAUUUGAUUUCUCAUUCCCCCAACCCAAAUUUGAUUUCUCAUUUCCUCCAUUUGAAACCGACAGGCGAGUCAGGCGACAGCAAAGUUCAAACAGCAAACCCUGAAAUUUCCAUUUGAAGCAGAGCUGCAGAACAACAGAAUUAGCAGCUGGAGGCAGUGGACGGUUUGGCGGUGUCAUGGUGUGCGAAGUCAGACUCUCAGAAUCAGGGGCGAGGCCACGGCCGCGAGGCGACGAUCUGGUGAGUUGAAAUUUGAAUAACUUGAAGUGUUGAAUGCUUGAAGUCUUGCUUGAGUACUGCAAUUUGCAAACCCUUUGUUGAUUUGUCGAUUUGUGCAAACCCUUUGUUGAUUUGUCGCUUUGCAAUUCAACAAUUCAAAUUGAUUUGUCGAUUUGUGCUUGUGCAACUGCAAUUUGCAAAUCCUUUGUUGUCUAUUGAGUGUGUUGUGAAUGAAAUGAAGUAUGGUUUUACUUUCACCAUUUGGAUUGCUCAACAAGGUGGAUUAUUAAAAAAAAAAAAAAAGUUGGGUGUAAUAGGUGACUCUAGAAUGGUUUAUUUGGAUUUGAGAGUUGGAGAGUGGAUCCCAAAUUAGAAUAGUUUCAUACUCUCUCAACCAGUUUAUUGGUCUUCUUUUGCUUUAAAUAAAUUCCUUUUAUUUGAUAUGAGCCCAAUGGCAAAAUGAUAAAGAUGGAACUUUAUCUUACGCGGCAAGCCAAAAAAGCACAAAACUCGUCUUUUGCUGCAUGUGGUUCUUAAUGUGGUUCUUUCAUUAAUCUUUAAAGUAUUAAUUGCUUUGCUAUGACAAAAGUCAACACACUGUAUAAUCUCUACUCGGUGUGGAGAUUUCUAAGUCCCUACCCUAACGUAUUGUAUAACUCAGGCCAUAAGAUUCCAUAAAUAGGCUAUGGAACAGCGACAAAUCGCAACAACGGACAUCCAUCUUCUUGGAUUCCAUUGAGGUUGGCUGCCACCACUUUGACACGGCAGCCUCCUACGACAUAGAGGAGUACGUUUGCCGAGCGGUAGCAAGAGCACUCAACAGUGGGCUCAUCAAGAACGGUGAAAAAGUGUUUGUCACUUGUAAGUUGUUGUGGAAAGAUACGCGAAGAUCUUGUUUUCCCAAAGGCGAAAGCUUGUUUUUCCAGAUGGGCAGUACAAAUAUGCCCUUAAAUCCCUAAAAAAUGUAUCCAAAUCAAAUUAAUCAUCAGGGAUAUCACUGAGGGAGCAAAAGAAUAAUAUCACUCUUGACAUUGUUGGGGUCUUGGGGAAAUACUUUUCUGAUAUAAUCAACCAUAUGAAAAAGAUAUGUACAGUCAAUAGUUAUCUUCAAUAAAUCCUACACAGAUAUUCAUGCCCAGGCCCUACUAAGGUGACGAAAAGAUUGAAGUCAAAUUCUUACAAAGUUUUCUACACGCAAAUAUCUAAUCACUCAAAGAAAUAUCUUUAGCGUUACAGCAGCUCAAGAUUCAAAUUGUAACUUUGAAUUAAACUUAAAAACAAAAAACAAAAAACAAAAAAUCAAAAGUAUAUAACUGUUCAUCUUCUCUUUCCCACCCCCACUGUUCACCAUCUCCUUGAUACUCGAUCCCAAAUUAAUCCAACGCCACCGUUGCCGUCGCAUCUCGCCGCCUACCGCUUCCACUACAAAACUCAUCUUAUCAUCAAUUUCAUCAUCCCAAAUCACAAACCAUUGUCAAACCAAUCAAGAAACCAUUUCAUUCCCAUCAAGAAUUUCCAAGUCAAUGUAAUCUAUGCUGGCGGAAACACACCUUACAGCCACACCCACCAUGUCAGACCACCACCAGUAGACACGUACACCACAAAUGCUCAAUGUGAUGGUGAUGAUUCAACAAAAUAGGGCCAAAACAUCAAUGUAUUUUCUGGGAUUUUACAUCCAAUGCGUGCGAAUAAGGGCUCUCAUAUCCAAUCCAACUAAUGUUUUUCCCAUUGUUCAAUCCACAAAUUCACCUACGAGAACUCAUAUUCAUACUCAAACGACUGUGGGUACACAAUUAAUUGAUCCAGUUGCUACUUAAUCGCCUCGUAAUUUGAUCCCUGAAGUAGCGAGUUGACUGCUCCGUCAAUUGCAAUUGGCAGCAAAAAUAUUGUUCUCCCAUCCAUUGUGAUUCACCGAUGGUCGAAACGGGCCUUUCCUUACUUGCUUUGUGAGAGCUAAAAUACUACUUGAUAGAUCUCUUUGAUUUGGAAGGGAUGAUGAAUACGGGGUGCGUUAAUUUAAGGUGGGGGUGUGAACAGUACUUUUUAUUUUUUGGGGGUGGGGGUGGACUAACUUUUCUCUUUUUAUUAAUCUAUGUUUUGUUUUGUUUUUAUUUCAAAGUUACCAUUCUACCACCUUAAAAAUUGAUCAAAAUCAAUUUCUUGAGUCAACUAACAAUUAAAUUAACAGAAAUCAUCCAUUUGAACUUCAGGUGCGAGUUUUUCAAAGAUUUGGUACUCACGAUGGCAGAAACUAAAGAUUUGGACAAAGUCUGCUAAUAAACAAAAAGUUUAGUACUCCUGCUGCAAUUUUCCCUUAAUUUUUUUACAAAAGGGAGGCCAAACGGGGGCUAAAAUUUCACGCAAUAUGUAGAAAAUCUCGUUGUAACAUUCUGUCAAUAUAACAAUUUCGAUGAAUUUAGGGUCGUUGAUGAGAUUCAAACAUAAUUUGAAGUUGAAUGGGUAAUCGAGUUUCAUGACUCAAUUGAGACUUGGCCGAAAUUUCGUUGUUCGCAUAAUAAAAUGGACCCAUUAUGUUUCUGACACUAAAAAAGACAACUACUGACCAUAAUGGCCCAAAAGCCCAAAUAUGUUGAUGCCAAAUCCAACCGACACUAACCCUGAAGCUAAUCCACUCCAAUUAUAAUAAUGUUAUACAGACCACUGAAAUUAUAAUUUUGAUUUAUAUGUUGACUCAAUUAUCAUUUAAUGUCUAGGAUUAGAGUUGUAACCAGUCAGCCGCCAACUAUGGCCACAACGAAAGUUACUCGUGUAAUGCUAAAUUCCGGCCAAAUGAUACCGACAAUAGGCUUCGGUACCUCAGCACUACCUUUGCCACCGCCUGAACAACUAACAUCCAUAUUCAUCGAAGCCAUCGAGGCCGGCUACCGCCACUUUGACACGGCAGCAUCCUAUGGCACGGAGGAGU
RNAcentral lists this long non-coding RNA (8415 nucleotides) under Olea europaea (common olive). RNAcentral's name for it is "long non-coding RNA (OEUR_LNC010834)". The record is from RNAcentral. Lineage: Eukaryota; Viridiplantae; Streptophyta; Magnoliopsida; Lamiales; Oleaceae.